This 208-nucleotide ribosomal RNA is filed under the name uncultured bacterium. RNAcentral describes it as "partial 16S ribosomal RNA". It matches the Rfam family "Bacterial small subunit ribosomal RNA", at positions 568 to 774 of the family's 1533-position model. The record is from RNAcentral.
UGCGUAGGUGGCGUGGUAAGUCAGAUGUGAAAGCCCAGGGGCUCAACCCUGGAAUUGCAUCCGAUACUACCAUGCUAGAGUACUGAAGAGGUGACUAGAAUUCUCGGUGUAGCAGUGAAAUGCGUAGAUAUCGAGAGGAAUACCAAAGGCGAAGGCAGGUCACUGGGCAGUUACUGACACUGAGGCACGAAGGCUAGGGGAGCAAACG